Diceros bicornis minor is the source of this 553-nucleotide long non-coding RNA. RefSeq lists it as uncharacterized. Lineage: Eukaryota; Metazoa; Chordata; Mammalia; Perissodactyla; Rhinocerotidae. The record is from RefSeq and is a predicted model, not a curated record. The transcript has 6 exons.
GGUCUCUUUUAUUCAAAACCUUGUAUUUUGUGUAGAAAGAGUUUACCGUGUGCCUGAUUUUGGUGUCUGGGAAAGAGGAAGCAAAUAUAAUAAUGGCAGCACAGAGCUACAUUCGAGCUCUGUUGGCUUAGCAAAAGCAGCUCUAGAAGCAAUUAAUGGAUUCAACCUCUUUGGCAACCAGGGCUGUUCUUGGUCGGUUAUAUUUGUGGAUCUCGAUGCUCACAAUCGCAAUAGGCAUACUUUGUGCUCACUCUUACCCAGAGAAUCAAGAUCUCAUAACACAGAUGCUGCCCUGCUCCCCUGCAUCACUUAUCCUGCAUUUGCCCUGGAUGAUGAAGUUCUGUUUAGCCAGACACUUGAUAAAGUGGUUAGAAAAUUAAAAGGAAAAUAUGGAUUUAAACGUUUCUUGAAAGAUGGAUAUAGAACAUCACUGGAAGAUCCCAACAGACGCUACUACAAACCAGCUGAAAUGAAGCUAUUUGAUGGCAUUGAGUGUGAAUUUCCCAUAUUUUUCCUUUACAUGAUGAUUGAUGGAGUUUUUAGAGGCAACCCC